RNAcentral lists this ribosomal RNA (699 nucleotides) under uncultured bacterium. Its description in RNAcentral is "bacterial SSU rRNA". It matches the Rfam family "Bacterial small subunit ribosomal RNA", at positions 8 to 701 of the family's 1533-position model. The record is from RNAcentral.
AGAGUUUGAUCCUGGCUCAGAGUGAACGCUAGCGGCGUGGUUAAGACAUGCAAGUCGAACGAUGAAGCCCAGCUUGCUGGGCGGAUUAGUGGCAUACGGGUGCGUAACACGUGAGCAACCUGCCUUGAAGUGGGGGAUAGCCCGGGGAAACCCGGAUUAAUACCGCAUGUGGUCCCUAUUCGCAUGAAUAGACGACUAAAGUUUGUAAUGACUCUUCAAGAGGGGCUCGCGGCCUAUCAGCUUGUUGGUGAGGUAAAGGCUCACCAAGGCUAAGACGGGUAGCUGGUCUGAGAGGACGAUCAGCCACACUGGAACUGAGAUACGGUCCAGACACCUACGGGUGGCAGCAGUUUCGAAUCAUUCACAAUGGGGGAAACCCUGAUGGUGCAACGCCGCGUGGAGGAUGACGGCCUUCGGGUUGUAAACUCCUGUCACCAAGGAACAAACGGCAGGUUCAUAGCCUGUCCUGAGUUAACUUGGAGAGGAAGAGGUGGCUAACUCCGUGCCAGCAGCCGCGGUAAUACGGAGACCUCGAGCGUUACUCGGAUUCACUGGGCGUAAAGAGUAUGUAGGCUGUUCGGUAUGUCAGGUGUGAAAGCCCGGGGCUCAACCCCGGAAUUGCGCCUGAAACUACCGGACUCGAGGCCUGGAGAGGAGAGUGGAAUUCCUGGUGUAGCGGUGAAAUGCGUAGAUAUCAGA